Non-coding RNA from Physcomitrium patens, 1665 nucleotides. The record is from RefSeq and is a predicted model, not a curated record. NCBI's taxonomy places the organism in Eukaryota, Viridiplantae, Streptophyta, Bryopsida, Funariales, Funariaceae.
GAGAGGGGGAAGGGGAAAACUAAGGCGAAAGGCAAAGGGAGGCUAAGGUCUACUCCUAUACUGCUGAUGCUGAGUUGUGCUGCUGGGGUGCUGCACCAGGGCUGCCUGCCUGCCUGACCAAACACUGCUACCGCUCUCGCGCUCUCUCUGCUUCUCUCUGCUCCAUUUCAUGGCCUACGAUCCAUUCCCAUAAUUGGAUCCGUGUCUCUGCUUCUCGCGCUGCUUCUGUAGCCCACCAUGCAUCCAGCCUGCUGUUCUCGUUUCGUUUCUGCUGGGAUGUGACCAGAUUGCUUAGCUCAACCUGGAAUUUGACAAUUUCCCCCUUUCUACCCCCCACCCCCCUCGGCUUGUGCGGAGCGUUGCGGAUGCGGAGGAGACCUGGAUUUCUCUUCCCCGGUGUCAAUUGGCUUGUGGGCGGAGAAGCGGCGAUUCUGGAGAUGACGCAAAGCAAAGAAUGUUGAUUUUGUGAGGAAGUGGUGAGAUCGGUGCGGAGAUGACGGGUGGAGGAAUUUAGAAUCUGGAAGAGUUUUCACUGAGCAAGGAUGGGUUUUAGACACUGUCUCAGAACCAGGUCCUUGUCGGUUGUGUAUGUGGUUUGAAGUGCUGAAGGGAAUCGUGUGCCUAGCGGGCUGCCUGCUUUCCUGCAUAAGUUAGUUUAUAGAGAUCUUGGUUUGGCAAAGGAAUAGGAGUAGGAGAAAUAUGUCUAAUCAUGGGAGCGGUUCCUCAACAAAGCCUUGGCGUCCCCCUCGAGGCAACAUGGCUACGUAUCCAUCGGUGGGGCGGUUUGAAAAUAAGCCACAACCCACUCUAUAUGUCAAAGGCUCCUCGCCCAAGCUCGAGGCUAAUAGUGCAAAGAUCAGUAUGGCUCCACACAGCAAUCAUGGGCAGCUCACUCAACAUCCCUCUUCGGGCAUUGUAGAUCUAAGAACAGCUCCAGCUACUGCGGGUAAGACUUGUGGCUCGAAUAAUUUAGAACGUAGCUUGUGGAGGACGUGAGACAAUUGGUCAUUACCAUCAGGCAGCAAGUGUGUCAAAUAAUUUAACUUAUAUUGUAUUCAUAUCAGGAUUAGCCUAAGUGUAUUUGGGCUAGCUACAUCUACAUGGUGUGCAGGAGAAUGUUGAUCUACGAAACCGUCGGAAUCCAAUCAUGUGAACGAUGUGUAAUCUUCAACGACAUUCUCGGUUGUUCGGGGGGUUCCUGAGGAAACCCCUCUGAGGUUAGAGUCAAGACCAACUUGUUGGACAUCUUUGCACAGGUCUUCAAUCUCUUAUGGAACAUGGUCUUGUCUUUUGUUGGUGUAGCUAUUCCUGCAUUCUAACACAAAAACAUCAAAUUCUAAGAGAUUGCAGGCUGUUUUGGUGCUCCCUUCGGUUAAAUUGUUGGGUUUGCUCUCAAUGCAGUUGAAGAUGCAGCUGGAGUCUCUGUCAAGUGGCAGCCGUAUUCAUGUUCCUUGUUAAGUACAAUAGGACAAACUGAUUACUAGCUACGUUGCUGAACAGAUGUCUGUCAGAUCUAUGCAUUCCAUGUUAUCUUUUACUAUAUCGUUGGUCUCCUUAUUUAUUUGUACUGUUUAUGCCUCUUCAUUUAUGUGUUGGUAUGCACGCUACCAUCAAAGCUAUCCUUGUAUUCGAAUAAGAUGUAAUAUAUGAGUAUUUACUAUAAAA